RNAcentral lists this ribosomal RNA (376 nucleotides) under uncultured bacterium. RNAcentral describes it as "bacterial SSU rRNA". It matches the Rfam family "Bacterial small subunit ribosomal RNA", at positions 524 to 898 of the family's 1533-position model. The record is from RNAcentral.
AACGUAGGAGCCAAGCGUUAUCCGAAUUCACUGGGCGUAAAGCGCGUGCAGGCGGUCUGGUAAGUUGGAUGUGAAAUCUCCUGGCUCAACUGGGAGAGGCCGUUCAAUACUGUCAGACUAGAGGGCGACAGAGGGAGGUAGAAUUCCCGGUGUAGUGGUGAAAUGCGUAGAUAUCGGGAGGAAUACCAGAGGCGAAGGCGACCUUCUGGGUCGUACCUGACGCUCAGACGCGAAAGCUAGGGGAGCGAACGGGAUUAGAAACCCCGGUAGUCCUAGCCGUAAACGAUGUAGACUGGGUGUUGGCGGGGUAAAAGCCGUCAGUGCCGAAGCAAACGCGAUAAGUCUACCGCCUGGGGACUACGGCCGCAAGGUUAAA